CGGUCCUUAAGUAUCAAAUUUAAUUAUCAAAUAAAUAAAGAAAAGGAUCUAAAUGAAAUCAAGAUCUAGACUUAGGGUUUUAUCUGACAGAAUUCCACGAGUUUUGGUGUUUGUCUAUUUCUGCAGGGGGUUAUCAGGAAAUAUGGAAGAAAGGCCCACAUGCCAGGAUUACGUAAAGAUAUUAACGUGCUGCGCAAUUAUCUUACAUCUAGAAGACUCCAGAAGCCACGAGACCGAAGCGGAGGC
Molecule: long non-coding RNA, 246 nt
Filed under: Sorghum bicolor (sorghum)
Lineage: Eukaryota; Viridiplantae; Streptophyta; Magnoliopsida; Poales; Poaceae
Description: long non-coding RNA (SBIC_LNC015941)
Source: RNAcentral